ACGAAGGGGGCAAGCGUUGUUCGGAAUCACUGGGCGUAAAGAGCACGUAGGCGGAUUGUUAAGUUAGGGGUGAAAUCCCAAGGCUCAACCUUGGAACUGCCUCUGAUACUGGCAAUCUUGAGAUCGAGAGAGGAGUGUGGAACUCCGAGUGUAGAGGUGAAAUUCGUAGAUAUUCGGAAGAACACCAGAGGCGAAGGCGGCACUCUGGCUCGAUACUGACGCUGAGGUGCGAAAGCGUGGGGAGCAAACAGG
RNAcentral lists this ribosomal RNA (252 nucleotides) under uncultured bacterium. Its description in RNAcentral is "partial 16S ribosomal RNA". It matches the Rfam family "Bacterial small subunit ribosomal RNA", at positions 525 to 776 of the family's 1533-position model. The record is from RNAcentral.